UUUACAUUCUAGAUUCAUGGAUUCAAGUCAUUACCAUUAAUGUUGACGAUUUUUCUUAAUAGUUUUCAGUGUCUUUUGACAUGAUCAGCUUUUGAGGUUUAGAUCUCCUUCCUCCUCAAAUAAAAUUUCCGUCAUUGUGUAUAAUUGAUAUUUAAAGAAAGACUGCUAUACUUGUUCGGGAUAGAAUAUUAAGUCCUUGUUUGGCUCCUGCUUAUAAUUGAUCUAGCCGCUUCUUAUCCACACAUUUUGUGGUACCUACAAGUACUAUUCACUUAUCAACAAUUCAUUUCCAUCAAUUUACAAUUUAAACUGAUUAUUAACAACUCCAAACAUGCUUGAAAAUUAUAUUUUCAUUUUCCUUUUUAUUUGCAGUCAUUUCUUGGUGGAAAAAUAGAAUGAGUUCAAUUAGCUUGAGAAGAUAUUCAAGAGAAUUGCCACUUGAGAUCUAUAGCAUUUAGGGUGGAGGAAAGCCUUGAAGUUUUCAGGAUCAUCAGUUUGAUAGCAGAAAUGAUAUAUAGAAGGUUUAUUCCCAAGUGAACUGGGGAGAGCCUAAUAAUUCCACCUAAUGUUUAAUGUGAGCCAAGCUACCGUGGACAUAGAUUUUUUGGUCAAUAAAGAUUUUUUCACCCUAAUUGUUGAUUGGGAACAGUGAAAAUGGGGAAGUACUGAUUUUCCUGACUUCGUUCUUGUGAUGUGAAAUUCUAUUGGUGCAUUUAUACACAGGAUGAAAGGUAAGAAGUCACGCCUUCCAUCUAGACUUUACACGGACUGUUUAUUUUCAAGUUCUUCAUUUUUGUGUCCUUACAUUUUGAUAUUGAGUAUUUAACGGAAGAUUUAAGGUUUUCUGGUCGCUAAUCUUGUAUGAGCUCAACAUGAAGAUCACGACGAGGUUCUGUUUAUGAUCAGGACUCUCUCUUAUUAUAGUUGACGAAAGUGUACAUUUUCAGAAUCACACGUGUAAAUUGUGUUUUGUUUAAAAAAGUUGUUCAAUUAGGUUUAAAUAGGUCUCUCCUUACUGCCAAUUGAUUCAUAUCUCCUCACUGUUUCCAUGAUCACUUAGGGAGAGGAUUGGAUAGUCUUGGAUCAUAUUAAAAAAGAAAUAUAAGUUAAAAUUUUGUUAAUUAUACUGUUCUAUUUUGUCCACUAUUGUGCUUGAAGCAUGCUCUUAGGCACUUGUGUCAGUUGACCUUAUGGCUUUGCUUUCUUGAAAUGGUGAGGAAGUUUUCUUCUACAUGUGAAUGUAUCAAUAUUUUGCAUUGUUCUGUUAAGUUUUAACAGUGCAGGGAAUAAAGGCUCAACAUGAACAUAAUCCAGGGUUCUAUAUAUAAUUAAGGGAUAAUUGCAGCAAUGGUCCCAAACCUUACUCACUUUUCCACGCACUUUACGUCAAUCUUCACUUUAUGUUAUCCACAAUUCCAAAUUGUUCAUUUUGUUGCAACACAAGGACAUAUUCCAUCCAUUUAACAGUUAGUUGAUUGGAGAAGUGGAUUUUGACUAAAUUUGAUGAGGACAAAGUGGUAACUUUGCUAUUUAUCCCCAUAAAAAAUUAAAAGAAAUAAAACAAAAUAAAGAUAAAAGAAAAGAAAACUGUUAAUCUCACUGUACUUGAUGCUCACUUUGAUGCUCACUAUAAUUGAAACAGUUCGCCCUUUUUGCUUGUGAGCUCUUAUGCUUUCUUUCUAGCCUCGCAUGUUCUCAGGUUCGUGGGUCAUGAGCUCGCUUGCUUAUUCCUUUGUAUUUAUUUAUUUCAAUAAAUAGUCCUUGAAACCUGAAUUUAACUAUCAUAGUUUAAAUCUAUAACUUAUUCAAUUUUUAUUUUUAUGUUUUGUUUUUUUGGUUGACACAUUAGUCCUCGAGAUUCGAGCUUAACUAUUUAUUUUUAAGCUGCAAACUUACAGUUAAGAAAUUAUUUAAGCAUAUUCUUCUUUAUUUGUUGUGGUUGACGUUACUAUGCUUAGAGGACGUAUUAUCAUUGUAGUGGUCUUUUGCGUGCAUUUAUAGGUCUGUUUGCGCAUUUCUAUGUUAAUGGCCUAUGCACAUUUAAUGUAUUUGUCAAUUAUGCGGGACCUCAUCAGUUCAUUUUGAAAUUUUGUGUACUUAGUAUUCAACAGCUAAGAUUGUCCAGUUGCUUUUUAAAUGAUUAAGAUUAUUACUGACACAAUUCAACGACUUGUAUCUCUUGUUAGAUCUAUGGAUAUGUCAUUCUUCUUGUAACUAAUAUCCUUUCUUCUACUCUUUCGCCUUUGAUUGCUGUGCUUCGUACUCUUUAAGGUGUUUUUUGGCCAAUUUCGUCUCCUGCUCUUUUUCAUUAAUAUUCCAAAUAUCUUCCUUAGGUACAUGUACUGCCAUUUUCAUCUUGCUUUUGUAUCUACGUUUUAAUGAAGAUUUGAGAUUUUAUUUGCAUCUCUCAAAGUGAUUCCCAAAAUAUGUUAUAUAAUUUGGAGAUUGAAAUUUCUAGACUAAGGGAUGAUAUAUCAGGUGCUUCUUCUUUUGUAGAAGUGUUGUAUAACUGGUAUUACCCCAUUCUACAGUUACCCAUUUCGGUUCUCGCGUUAAUCCAGAAUUUAUUAGGCAAGGAGGUGGCUCUAACAUAGGGACGAAGUACAUAAGCUUUUGAGUGAACUUGGUAGCCUUAGUGAAGGUGAUGGUACUGUGUUUGAAGCCUCGAAAAUAUUUACCAAUUUUACUGAGAAGGACUUAGAUGAGAUUCAAUAUAGGUUUAAUGUUCUGGAUAUUGACUUAGUAUGUCCUGUGCAAUUCCAAAGUGCGGACUGUCCUCCCACUGAUUGUGUAGCUAUUUAUUUACAAAUCGAAAAUGGGACUUAAAAGUUCCAUUCUAUCAUUUCUUUUGUGAGAUUCGUUCUUCUUUUAAUAUUGUUUCACCCAACUUACUCCUAAUGAGUGAGCUCAUAUGGUUGGGUUAUGUUUUUGGAGUUUCGCGGGUUUAGAGGGACAGUUAUCUUCGGAUGUUUUUCAAUUUAUUUAUCAUCCCGUAAAAUCGGAUAAUAAGGCGAACCCACAAAAAGUGUAUUAUUCAUUUUCUCCUUGUUUUCCUAAAUCGUACCUAAAAUUUGUAAUUACUCCUAAAAAGGUGCAUAAUUGAAAAGAAUUUUAUUUUCUUUGUCAAGGGAACUAAGGGCUUCAACCUAAUGAUCAUAACUUCUCGAUUGCUAUGCCUCAGUAUUACGGCAAUCUAGUGAGUAUUGGUUCAUUUAUUCUUUGCUUUAGUUUGAUAUAUGUAAAUAGGUAAAUAGUAAGGUCCACUUUAUGAUUGAGCUUUUAUUGAUUUUUGCACUUUAGUGGCACCUAUUGUUGGCAACGUUUCUGAGGCUCAUGAAAAAGAGAGAUUGCUUCAUCCUUCUAAUUCGAAUUUUUAUAACGUUGGGAUAAAGACUACCUUGGGUGAGUUUAUGCGCUAAAGACUUUUUCGUCUUCUGAUUUCUAAUUUUGCUUUUGGGUAAUUACAAUUAUUCUUUUGCAGUGUGGAUUAAUUUUAGUGCAAACCCUUCUACAAGCUUCAAAUGCCAAAAACUUCCAUCACUUCCCCUCCUAAGCAGCUGCCUCUCGAAAGAUCUAAGGGGUUAAAGAGUGUGCCUUUGUGAGGGCCGAGGGUGUGACCGGUCGAAAUGUACCCCAAAAGUUGCUCGAGUGGUUGAAGUUACGUUAUGAUCAACAAGUAGAAUAUGAGGUUUGCAUUUUGCGAGCUGACAAUUUGGAUAAUAAAGUUCAAUCUUUGGAGAAAAGAUUUGGUUCUCUUUAGAGGAAGCUAAGAAAGAGAGCGCCAAAUACAAGGAGUUGAGCGAAGGUGCUAAAGUUUAUGCUAUCAAGGAGGCUACCAUGUUGGCCGAUGUUAUGAAGGUUUCUAAGGACUUGGAGCGGGCCAAGGAAAACCAUGAGGCUUAUGCCAAAAUGACUGAUCGUGAGAUUUUAAGACUUAGAGAGGAGCUUCAGUUGGUAAAAGAUGAGCAGUUUUUUUACCUCGAAAGAUCUUGAGAAUGCACGGAAUGAAAUGGCUUCAGUUGGUAAAAGAUGGGCAAUUUGUUACCUCGAAAGAUAUUGAGAAUGCGAGGAAUGAAACUAGCAUUCAAUUAAAACUUUAUCAUAGGUGGAAAGAAACUUGCCUUCAAUUGAAAAUUUAUCAUAGGCAGAAAGAAACUUGCCUUCAACCCCUUUCAUAUGCUUUUUAUAAAUAUUGUCAAUGCGUUCCUUUUUCUGGUCUUGGCUCAUUGUAAGAGUUUUGAUAUCCAUACUUUCCCUUUUACAUGCAGUAUCAUCCUUAUUUGUAGGAGUAGUAUUCCCCCCCCCCCCCUCUCUAUAUAACUUUUCCAGUUUCACAACCUCGAAUAUGAGCUUUCCUAACUGAGGAUCUCAAUCUUGUCGUUCUUGUUUUCUACCAUCACUGUGGUAUUUAUUAUCGGAGUUCUUGGGGUUGAUUUUCUCUGUGCGCUAAGGUAACACUCUGGC
RNAcentral lists this long non-coding RNA (4464 nucleotides) under Olea europaea subsp. europaea. Lineage: Eukaryota; Viridiplantae; Streptophyta; Magnoliopsida; Lamiales; Oleaceae. The record is from RNAcentral.